RNAcentral lists this ribosomal RNA (904 nucleotides) under uncultured bacterium. Its description in RNAcentral is "bacterial SSU rRNA". It matches the Rfam family "Bacterial small subunit ribosomal RNA", at positions 505 to 1398 of the family's 1533-position model. The record is from RNAcentral.
GUGUCAGCAGCCGCGGUAAUACGGAGGAUGCGAGCGUUGUUCGGAAUCACUGGGCUUGAAGCGCGUGUAGGCGGCCUAGCCAGUACCUUGUGAAAUCCCUUGGCUCAACCGAGGAAUUGCUGGGUAUACUGCUGGGCUUGAGGCGGUUAGGGGUGCCUGGAACUCUAGGUGGAGCGGUGAAAUGCGUAGAUAUCUAGAGGAACGCCUGAGGCGAAAGCGGGGCACUGGGACCGAUCUGACGCUGAGACGCGAAAGCGUAGGGAGCGAACGGGAUUAGAUACCCCGGUAGUCUACGCCGUAAACGAUGCGCACUAGGCUUUUUGACCUCUGACGGUCGGAGAGCCGAAAGAAAACCGAUAAGUGCGCCGCCUGGGGAGUACGGCCGCAAGGCUAAAACUCAAAGGAAUUGACGGGGGCUCACACAAGCGGUGGAGGAUGUGGCUUAAUUCGAGGCAACGCGAAGAACCUUACCCGGGUUUGACAUGCAUGGAUUAGCCCUCUGGAAACAGGGGUGACGCGGCUUGCCGUGGAACAUGCACAGGUGCUGCAUGGCUGUCGUCAGCUCGUGUCGUGAGAUGUCGGGUUAAGUCCCUGAACGAGCGAAACCCUUGUCGUUAGUUGCCAGCGCGUGAUGGCGGGCACUUUAGCGAGACUGCCGGUGUUAAGCCGGAGGAAGGUGGGGAUGACGUCAAGUCCUCAUGGCCUUUAUGUCCGGGGUUGCACACGUCCUACAAUGGGAAGGUACAGAGCGACGCAAGACCGCGAGGUGGAGCAAAUCGCAGAAAACUUCCCCCAGUUCGGAUUGCAGUCUGCAACUCGACUGCAUGAAGUUGGAAUCGCUAGUAAUCGCGUAUCAGCUAUGACGCGGUGAAUAUGUUCCUGAGCCUUGCACACACCGCCCGUC